AUCAUUUUAGUAUAUAUUUAGUAUUUUGUCUUGAUACGAUAAAGGUUUUAUGAUAU
Molecule: transfer RNA, 56 nt
Filed under: Allodiplogaster sp. MY-2022
Lineage: Eukaryota; Metazoa; Nematoda; Chromadorea; Rhabditida; Diplogasteridae
Description: tRNA-Ile
Source: RNAcentral